This is a long non-coding RNA of Pseudopipra pipra, 238 nucleotides long. RefSeq lists it as uncharacterized. NCBI's taxonomy places the organism in Eukaryota, Metazoa, Chordata, Aves, Passeriformes, Pipridae. The transcript is spliced from 2 exons. The record is from RefSeq and is a predicted model, not a curated record.
CAGGCUGUGGGAGGAGGUGGGCAUGAGCUCAGGAAGUGUAGAGAUCGAGCAACCUGAAGUUGUCCUUGAGCCUCUCUUAGCACUGUGGCUGUGGGCAUGGCCAGACCAUUCAUGUCCCACGCUGGGAGAAAAAGAAAACCACCCCCAAUUUUGCUGAGCCCCAGCAGUGUGAACAGAGAGAAAAGGUGCUUCAGGGCAGGAAGAAACUGUGAAGAAAUAGAUUUUCAAACUCCAUUUA